UUUCUAACUCCAUUUUUUUUUUUUGCUAACAUUCAUUCAAAUAAUAUUGUUUUUUAGUGCCUUCCAGAAAAAAAGAUGUCAAUCUCAAAUUAGAAACCUGGCCACUAAAUGGUAAAAGAUGGGGAUAUGGAGAAAGAAGAAGCUAGAGAAAGUCUGCUGUUGCCACAGGUUGAAGGUCCAGGAUUCAAGGAAUUCAUUGUGGGCAUUAAGAGCUGACAGCGAGGGUCCAGGAGGAGGCAGCAGAAAGCAGAUCCUCUCAUUGAUAUCUCUAGCCCUUCAGCUGCUUAAUAUUCUGAAGAAGUGGAAAGGGGAACAGAAAUCUUAA
RNAcentral lists this long non-coding RNA (325 nucleotides) under Monodelphis domestica (gray short-tailed opossum). RNAcentral's name for it is "lncRNA (ENSMODG00000046210.1)". The record is from RNAcentral. Lineage: Eukaryota; Metazoa; Chordata; Mammalia; Didelphimorphia; Didelphidae.